Molecule: small nuclear RNA, 158 nt
Filed under: Echinops telfairi (small Madagascar hedgehog)
Lineage: Eukaryota; Metazoa; Chordata; Mammalia; Afrosoricida; Tenrecidae
Description: U1 spliceosomal RNA (ENSETEG00000021999.1)
Rfam family: U1 spliceosomal RNA
About the family: U1 is a small nuclear RNA (snRNA) component of the spliceosome (involved in pre-mRNA splicing). Its 5' end forms complementary base pairs with the 5' splice junction, thus defining the 5' donor site of an intron.
Source: RNAcentral
AUACUUACCUGGCCGGGGAGACACCAUGGUCACGAAGGUGGUUUUCCCAGGGUGAGGCUCAUCCAUUGCACUCUGGAUGUGCUGACCCUGUGAUUUCCCCAAAUGUGGGAAACUCGACUGCAUAAUUUGUGGUAGUGGGGCAUUCGCGCUCUCCCCUG